UUUGUUUUGAUUUUGUUCGCCUGCUGCGAUCGCGCAAUUUUUUCGUCUUUCAACAACAAAAUAGUUUGCCUGAAGUGAGCCACGUCUUUUUAGUUGCCAGCAAGAUAAUUUCAUGCCGGAUGUCGUCAUCGGAUGCAGAUGCUGGUUAGCAGGAGAACCGGCUUUCACCUUGUCGGAAUUAUUGCCGUAGCUGGUGCUGUCGUUAUUGGAUUUGAAGCACCACGCGCUGUUCGGCUGGAGCCCUAAUUCCAUCUGUUUUAUCGCACGCCACGGGCCAUUCUGACCAGGCCUUGAGCCGCAACCAGCGAGAGUCCUAAGCUUAGCUUCAAGUACCGAAGCUGAAAUGGCAGCCGGAAGAAAAUACCAUGAAACGAGGAUUUCCGCUAGUGAUAACCUGGAUUGGGAAAUUGACGUUGGUGCGAGGGAAAUGUUAUUGUUGCAGUUCUCUUGUGGGUUACGUUCGCUGUAUUUCCCGGCAGUGUGUCCAGGAAUAGCACCGCCAAUUUGUCGCAAAUAGUAAACGCCGCGAGCCAGAGUUUUUGUUCGAUGGUUCUGCGCCUUCACCGUUGGUGACUAAAAUUGUUUGCUGCCAAGACCAACCGAAUGCAGCAGAAUCGACAAACAGCCAAGAAAAGACAUCAAACAAACGGGACCUUCGACUGUGACCUGCAGCCUGCACGAAGCUGUAGCAGUUUAGCAGUUCGAUAGCAAAGCGGACUUCAUCUUGGUGACCACGAGCGAGUGCGUGAUUCCCGAGAUGAUCAACGCGAGCGGUAGGUUCGCGUGAGGAUGUUUUCAAGCAAGCAUAAUUGACCAUACAGGUGAGCUCCCAAAAUGUAGGCAACUUCCUCUGGUCAGCGACAAGAUCACCGUCAAGCUGAUCUUCGCUCAUUUUCACUCGGUCAGUCGAUGACGUAUUAAGUCAAAAUGUUCAGCAUUUUUGUAUUACCCAAUCUCACCCCAGACCUAAUGUCACCCCUGAUGACGGUAUACAAAACCUAUUCACAAUUGACUCUAUAAAUAUAUUAAACAGGAAAGGUUUCGCGCUGUUUUCGCAAAUUUGCAGUUACCAACUAGAUUUCGAGUGGAAACAUUCGCUGAACCAGCGGAUUUUUCGCCGAAACCAGUAGAAUAAUCUCCUGGUUGAUUUUGGUACGAGCUGCUGCCGCCGGAAAAAAACCCGGACGUCAGCGAUAGAAAACGCUGAUCCAGCGUAAAAGAACACUGGUCCAGUGAAGAAAACCGCUGGACCAGCGAAUUGUUUCCCAAAACCAGUACAAUAAUCUCCUGGUUGAUUUUGGUGCCCUGCCGCUUUUUCCAAACCAGCGAGAAAAUUUUCUGAUUCUAGCAAAACUGAUCCCCCAAACAGCGACAUUUUUCACCAAACCAGUGUUUUUUUUCACUGGUUUGGUAGAAUUUCAUCGGUUUCCAAACCAGCGAAAAAAAAUAGCGAUUCUAGGUAAUUUUUGUGCAGGCUGAGAAAUUAGCGACAUUUUUCGCUAGUUUUAGCGAACUUUAUCGCGAUUUGGCGAUGGAUCCCC
Long non-coding RNA from Culex pipiens pallens (northern house mosquito), 1541 nucleotides. RefSeq lists it as uncharacterized. NCBI's taxonomy places the organism in Eukaryota, Metazoa, Arthropoda, Insecta, Diptera, Culicidae. The transcript has 3 exons. The record is from RefSeq and is a predicted model, not a curated record.